Molecule: non-coding RNA, 21 nt
Organism: Caenorhabditis elegans
Lineage: Eukaryota; Metazoa; Nematoda; Chromadorea; Rhabditida; Rhabditidae
Source: Ensembl
UUGAGACUUUCCUGACUCAUU